CAGCCGUAAACAAUGUGCGUUAGGUGUGUCGGUAACCACGCGUUACUGAUGCGCCGAAGAGAAAUCGUGAAACGCACCACCUGGGAAGUACGGUCGCAAGGCUGAAACUUAAAGGAAUUGGCGGGGGAGCACCACAACAGGUGGAGCCUGCGGUUUAAUUGGAUUCAACGCCGGAAAUCUCACCGGAUAGGACAGACAUAUGAUAGUCGGGCUGAAGACUCUACUUGAUGAUCUGAGAGGAGGUGCAUGGCGUCAGUGACU
Molecule: ribosomal RNA, 261 nt
Filed under: uncultured archaeon
Lineage: Archaea
Description: partial 16S ribosomal RNA
Rfam family: Archaeal small subunit ribosomal RNA
Source: RNAcentral